Molecule: ribosomal RNA, 492 nt
Filed under: uncultured bacterium
Lineage: Bacteria
Description: partial 16S ribosomal RNA
Rfam family: Bacterial small subunit ribosomal RNA
Source: RNAcentral
AGUGAACGCUGGCGGUAGGCCUAAUACAUGCAAGUCGAACGGCAGCACAGUAAGAUUUUGCCCCUACGGGUGGCGAGUGGCGGACGGGUGAGGAAUACAUCGGAAUCUACUUUUUCGUGGGGGACAACGUAAGGAAACUUAUGCUAAUACCGCAUAUGACGUACGGGUGAAAGCAGGGGAUCUUCGGACCUUUCGUGACUGAAUGAGCCGAUGUCGGAUUAGCUAGUUGGCGGGGUAAAGGCCCACCAAGGCGACGAUCCGUAGCUGGUCUGAGAGGAUGAUCGGCCACACUGGAACUGAGACACGGUCCAGACUCCUACGGGAGGCAGCAGUAGGGAAUAUUCGACAAUGGGCGCAAGCCUGAUCCAGCCAUACCGCGUGAGUGAAGAAGGCCUUCGGGUUGUAAAGCCCUUUUGUUGGGAAAGAAAAGCAGCGGGUUAAUACCCCGCUGUUCUGACGGUACCCAAAGAGUAAGCACCGGCUAACUUCGUG